Molecule: ribosomal RNA, 634 nt
Filed under: Penicillium donkii
Lineage: Eukaryota; Fungi; Ascomycota; Eurotiomycetes; Eurotiales; Aspergillaceae
Also listed under: 3 other names
Description: eukaryotic LSU rRNA
Rfam family: Eukaryotic large subunit ribosomal RNA
Source: RNAcentral
UUGACCUCGGAUCAGGUAGGGAUACCCGCUGAACUUAAGCAUAUCAAUAAGCGGAGGAAAAGAAACCAACAGGGAUUGCCUCAGUAACGGCGAGUGAAGCGGCAAGAGCUCAAAUUUGAAAGCUGGCCCCCUCGGGGUCCGCAUUGUAAUUUGCAGAGGAUGCUUCGGGAGCGGCCCCCAUCUAAGUGCCCUGGAACGGGCCGUCAUAGAGGGUGAGAAUCCCGUCUGGGAUGGGGUGUCCGCGCCCGUGUGAAGCUCCUUCGACGAGUCGAGUUGUUUGGGAAUGCAGCUCUAAAUGGGUGGUAAAUUUCAUCUAAAGCUAAAUACUGGCCGGAGACCGAUAGCGCACAAGUAGAGUGAUCGAAAGAUGAAAAGCACUUUGAAAAGAGAGUUAAACAGCACGUGAAAUUGUUGAAAGGGAAGCGCUUGCGACCAGACUCGCUCGCGGGGUUCAGCCGGCAUUCGUGCCGGUGUACUUCCCCGCGAGCGGGCCAGCGUCGGUUUGGGCGGCCGGUCAAAGGCCCUCGGAAUGUAACGCCCCCCGGGGCGUCUUAUAGCCGAGGGUGCCAUGCGGCCAGCCCGGACCGAGGAACGCGCUUCGGCUCGGACGCUGGCAUAAUGGUCGUAAGCGACC